Oreochromis niloticus (Nile tilapia) is the source of this 749-nucleotide long non-coding RNA. RefSeq lists it as uncharacterized. The record is from RefSeq and is a predicted model, not a curated record. The transcript has 4 exons. Lineage: Eukaryota; Metazoa; Chordata; Actinopteri; Cichliformes; Cichlidae.
GUUGGUUUCCCAAACUGGAUAAAUAAACCAUAAAACGCGACUUUCAAGUUUGGACAGUCGACUUCUUUUGCCUGCGUACAAGAUCUUAUCUCAGUGCAGCAGUGGCUUGUGGAUUUUUAAUUGUUGGACGUUUGGUUGGUCAAACUAACGGAAUCACCACUACAUAAAGUAAAAACUCUUGCCCGUGGACCAGAAGGAAUAAUCCUUCAUUAAUGGAUAUGUUGGAUAUAUAGAUUUCAUGGAUCACCAUCGAACAAAAGUUAUUAGAUCGUCUUUGGAGUAAUCCAGACGGACUUGCUGCUUGAGGCUUGGAUCAACACGUCACUCAUUCAUCAACACUGAGCUGCCCAAGCAUAUGCUGCUCCUAGAUGUAAAGACCAUAUGGAACUCUCUGUAUUUGAUGAAGGAGAGAUUCUGCGAGCAGUUUCCUGCCAUCCAGGCUGCAGCCAUCGAUCCACGGAUAAGAAAGUCCAUGAAAAAGGAAAGACUGGCUAAAAUGGGCAAUGAUGACUUAAGAAAAGCAGAGGAGUUUGUGGUGCUCAUGCGGAAGCACUACACCUCCACACCAGCAGCGACAAAAGUCCGACCUGUGGUGAGAUUCUGCUCAUCCUGCAAAAGCUACUGCAACACUACACCGUGCAAGAAGAUGACUCUGUCUUCACAAGGAGCAUAAAGGAGAACAUUUGGAAAGAUCUUUCCAAAUGAUACCAGGAUGCUGAUAUCCAGAGAUUCCUGGGGAGAGAGAGAGA